Molecule: ribosomal RNA, 439 nt
Filed under: Rhysida sp. CES091395
Lineage: Eukaryota; Metazoa; Arthropoda; Chilopoda; Scolopendromorpha; Scolopendridae
Description: partial 16S ribosomal RNA
Rfam family: Bacterial large subunit ribosomal RNA
Source: RNAcentral
GGCCGCGGUAUUUUGACCGUGCGAAGGUAGCAUAAUCAUUAGUCUGUUAAAUGUAGUCUGGAAUGAAGGGUUUGACGGGGAGUAGCUUUCUUAUUUUUAUUCUUGAAUUUGAAUUAUUAGUAAAAAUGCUAAUAUUUUUUAGGGGGACGAGAAGACCCUAUAGAGCUUUAUAUCUUAAUACUUUUUGGUAGUGAAGUUUGGUAUACUAUAUUUUGUUGGGGCGACAAUAGGUACAAAACAUCUGUGUUAUUUGUCUUUUUAGUAGGUUUAUGAUCCAUUAAUAAUGAUAAAAGACUAAGUUACCUUAGGGAUAACAGCGUAAUUUUGUUUUAGAGUUCAUAUCGAUAACAAAGGUUGCGACCUCGAUGUUGGAUUAGAAUUCCUUUUUUAUGGCGCAGGAGUUUUUAAAGGUAGUCUGUUCGACUAUUUAAUUUCUACA